This 26-nucleotide non-coding RNA is filed under the name Mus musculus (house mouse). Lineage: Eukaryota; Metazoa; Chordata; Mammalia; Rodentia; Muridae. The record is from RNAcentral.
UGUGUACAGCCCUGCUUCAUAAGUGG